This 29-nucleotide non-coding RNA is filed under the name Homo sapiens (human). Lineage: Eukaryota; Metazoa; Chordata; Mammalia; Primates; Hominidae. The record is from RNAcentral.
UACUAGACAGUGCGUCAUGCCACUCUGUA